Molecule: non-coding RNA, 2903 nt
Organism: Coturnix japonica (Japanese quail)
Lineage: Eukaryota; Metazoa; Chordata; Aves; Galliformes; Phasianidae
Source: RefSeq, a predicted model, not a curated record
CUGGUCUCUCACCACAUUUUGAAAAGAUGAAUUCUACUUCUGUUGAGAAAUGAUACUAGUGAAUUAUUUCCUUUCCACCAGUAUUGUCGUUUGGUAGAACCAUGAACAACAGCUGCAGAAAAUUAGGCCUGGGAGCAGAGGGAUGAGCAGUGGUGGGGAGGCCUGAAGGAUGCCAGCACAGGGCGCUCAUUCUUUACUACUAAAGAAAGCCCAUUUCUUUUUUAUUUGAAGACUGCCGUUAAUGCUUGGUGAACAAACGUGGUUUUGGUUCAGCUGCUGUACCACAAAGGCUCAAGUCAGCUUUUUGGGAGCCUGAGGUCUGAGUCUGCCUUGGGUCGACCAUGGCCCUUUGUGCAUGGAGCUACAGAUUAAAAAAAUAACAGCAAAAUCAGGCUUCAUUUUUAACAUGUUCCUGUUUUCUUUCAUCAGAAGUUCUGAAAUGCUUCAGAGGAGGUAGCUGAGAGUCAUAAUCUCAACCAUCAUGAUUUCUCAUAAGCGUUAAGAGAAACUGCAGCUUUACUGAAUAUAGUGCCUGUUUUAAAUGGUGUGUGGCUCGCUUCUUUUUAAUAGGAGUUCAAGAGCAGAGGCAAGUAAAACCUAAUGAAAGCGCCUAGAAGAUUUUGUUUUGAUACCCCACGGCAGCCCUCAUUUAUACUGGAGGGGGAAAAGAUUUCUUUAUAGCAAGGCCUGCAGAAGCCAGAAAUUUAAUCUUUCCAUACAACUUAUUUUAUUGCAUUUUUAAUUUUCUGUUGCAUUACUGUGACCCUUUUCUAUAGCUUUUGAUGCCUGGUGCUUAAUUACUUAUCAUUAGCAAUGUACAUGGGGGCCUUCCUGCAUAUUUAGAAAUGCGAUCAUUAGUACAUGGGAAGACAAAGACUUCUUUAAGACCAUCAUUAGUUAUUCUGUUUUCAUAGAAAUGUUCAUUAGAGAAACUACCCACCUGGUUAAAUAAUUAUAAUUAAGAAUUGGUAAUCUCCUUUGCAUUUUUAACUCAAUCUUCGGGAUGUGUGUGCAUAACUAAAGGAGCCUUGUUUGGCCAUCAUACUAUCUUUUCUUUUCAAUUUGAAUUGUCAAGCAGGUUUAAAUGCUGUGUUUUGAAACCAUAUACCCUAGGAAUGAUUUAUGGAAAUAUAGGUUAUUAAAAAGAGAAAGAAAGAAAGAAAUCAACCCAGCAAUUAUCUCUGAAUUCAUUAACUGCGCACUGGCAGCGAGAGGUUAUAUAAGCCAUUUACUGUAAUGCGCGGUAUGGAGUUAAAACAAAAUGUCACUGGGGCCUGAUUUCUCAGCCCCAUCUGCGGUUCUCACCGCAGACACCCAGCCUGCUGGGGUACGCUUCCAGAAGGGUGUGAUUUCCAUUUUCUGAUCGGGUAUUGCUUGGAAAUGCUGACAGUGAGUGCAGUCGUGUUGGUUCUCCUGCUCGCGGCCAUCAUGGGGAGCUGGUGGGAGGCCCUCCCCAUAUAGGUGUGUGCACCCAUCCUCUGAGAGGCUGUGGGGAAGGAGAGCGUGGGCACAGGGAGGGCUCACCUCUCCUGAGCCACGGGGAUGGAAGAGCUCAUCAGUGGCAUAAAUAUCAUCUGUAAACAAUUAAGCAGCUACUGCUCAUUCAGGGCAGUUUUGAGAAGCAAAGGAAGUCUGCAAUCAGUUAUAUCUCCAAUUACCAUAAAAAUAUAUUAGCCAUUCAUUCAUUUAUUAAUGAUUCAUCAGUUAACCACACAUAAUGAGCAAAUAAUUAGCAAUGCUGUACGGUUGCCAAAAUUGAAGAAGUGUUGGCAUUUUAAAGAUGAAAGGUUGCAUUUAUGUAAAAAGUCGGGUGGUGAUAAAGUUAAUGCAGAAGAUAAUUAUAAAAGUGGCUGUCCUAUUUUAGAGGCUGAGGUCCCGCAAAACUUGUCUAAUUGAACUGAAAUUAAUAUUCUUCAGAAGCACGCAUGUUACGGCAUACCGGCUGCUGAAUCUACUCGGAGAUCUCCCUUCAGUAAGGACUGUAACAGGAGCUUGCUGGAUCUUGGCUCUCUAUUUAGAGUAAGAAUGAGAGAAAUUGAAGUUCCCCCUGUUCUGCACAAAGCACAGGAGAAGGACGAGAAGUAGGAGUUGCCUGUCUCCAGCUACAGCCCAGGCACAGGGGACAGAGGUGCACCCAGAGCCGCUGCAGUGCAGCUGACUUCCUCCACAUCCAGAAGUGAUGGAAGAAAACUUUGGUGCUGAGUCAUGUUUCCUUCCCGUGGGCUCAUGCUGGGAUGGACAGACGUGCCUGCACUGUGCUGGUGUCUUUCAUAUGCCUACAGUCCGUGGUUACUUCUCAUUCAAUAGCAAUUACCGUAUGCCCGUUUUGUGCUAAGGGCUGCUCGAGGUGGAUGCUGUGGUCCCUGUCAGAUGUGUGCCAAAUUGAAAUGCCAGCAGCUGUGUGAGCAGCGGGAUAAUCGUAUCUGCUGCUUCUCUCUUCCAAGUCCUGGCAUUCCCAUUUUAGCAGUGGUGUGUCCAUGCUCAGCUCCACAGGAGGAAAUCCAUUGACUGAAGCCGUGCUGACACCUGGGGGACGUGGCUGCAUGCUCAUCAGUCACCUGUGUGACUGCAGACCCACUGGAGAACACAACCCUGGAGGCAGCAGUUUUUAUCAACUUCUCCUGCUGACCAGAUGAAGGCUCAGUGAUAAAUAAACGUCCUCCCACCCACUACAGCUCCCCAGCCCUCACCGUCUCCCGCUGGCUGCUGGGAUGCAGAGCAAUGGGAGAGCAAUGGACUGUCAUCAAAGAAGGCCAUGAGCUGCUCUGCCAGUGGAGAAGAACUGCUUCUGCUCAUUCAGGACGCAUACAGUACUGCUGCUCUAUUCUUGUAGCCAAGACAGUGUCAGAUGAACGUUUUCUGCCGGCUACAACAUAUGAAAAAGUGAGUACGUUAUCCAAUAA